Molecule: non-coding RNA, 30 nt
Filed under: Rattus norvegicus (Norway rat)
Lineage: Eukaryota; Metazoa; Chordata; Mammalia; Rodentia; Muridae
Source: RNAcentral
UAGAUAAUUACUUCUAUUAGUUGCCUUCCU